UUAAGCCGGGGGUCUCACUGGAAGCAACCUCUCUAUUCCUACGGGGUAGAGGUAAGGAUGUCUACGUCUACCCUCCUCAGACCUUACCUUAGCUUUGUUAUUGGUGGGAUGUAUUGAGUAUGAUGAUGAUGAUGUCUAUACCUUAUUAGUAAUACAUAAUAUAUAAUCGGAUUUCUUGUUCCAUUACACUUUUAAAGUUAAGAUUGAACAAUACUAAUCAUAGUAGGGUCCCUGAUUAGGCUCCCCGUCUAGGCUCCCAUCAAUAACCAAUUUAAAAGGCGCAUUUAGCCUUAUCCCAAAAGAAGCUCAAGAGGAUGAAAAGAGGCGGGAACAAGAGAAGGUCUGAAAAAGAUCAUCGCCUCACAUCACUGUUUCGGUCACUGGCGUUAAAUGCCUGAACAGGAGAGAGAAGACAGCUAGCAACAGUAGUACGAGGAAGGUACUGCCGCAUUAAAUGUAAAGAUCCUCUCUGAUUUGCAGAGAGCCGUUGGAUCUACAUGGGAUGCUCACCAUCUGAUAAGACCGACGCUUUAUAAAAGCAAAGGGAUGAUCCCAAAGGAUUCUAUUUGGACGCAGUCUUAUCAACCGGCCCAACUAGUUAGGGGAUUCGACAGUACGUUGUAUAUAUCCUAUUUUAUUUUAGAUUGUAUAUAGUUUUAAGUUUGUCACAUUCUUGAAAUGAGAUGUAAUUAGUGCGUUUUCAUGCACCUUC
Molecule: long non-coding RNA, 712 nt
Filed under: Helianthus annuus (common sunflower)
Lineage: Eukaryota; Viridiplantae; Streptophyta; Magnoliopsida; Asterales; Asteraceae
Description: hypothetical non coding rna
Source: RNAcentral